GACGAACGCUGGCGGCGCGCUUAACACAUGCAAGUCGAGCGAAGCGGCGGACGGGUGAGUAACACGUGAGUAACCUGCCUUAGACAUUGGGAUAGCCUCGGGAAACCGGGAUUAAUACCAAAUGGUCUAAGAUGGACUCGCGUCCCAUUAGCUAGUUGGUGGGUAACGGCCCACCAAGGCGACGAUGGGUAGCCGGUCUGAGAGGAUGAACGGCCACAUUGGAACUGAGACACGGUCCAAACUCUACGGGAGGCAGCAGUGGGGAAUAUUGCACAAUGGGGGAAACCCUGAUGCAGCGACGCCGCGUGAGCGAAGAAGGUUUUCGAAUCGUAAAGCUCUGUCCUAUGAGAAGCGGUAUCAUAGGAGGAAGCCCCGGCUAAAUACGUGCCAGCAGCCGCGGUAAUUC
RNAcentral lists this ribosomal RNA (406 nucleotides) under uncultured bacterium. RNAcentral describes it as "partial 16S ribosomal RNA". It matches the Rfam family "Bacterial small subunit ribosomal RNA", at positions 28 to 526 of the family's 1533-position model. The record is from RNAcentral.